Tachyglossus aculeatus (Australian echidna) is the source of this 275-nucleotide long non-coding RNA. RefSeq lists it as uncharacterized. The transcript is spliced from 3 exons. The record is from RefSeq and is a predicted model, not a curated record. NCBI's taxonomy places the organism in Eukaryota, Metazoa, Chordata, Mammalia, Monotremata, Tachyglossidae.
AGAGGUGGGAUAGCCAUUACACCCAGGUCACCAUCUGAAACAUCCAGCCAUCUCCAGUCACCACAUGAAGCAUCUUCAAAUCCACAGCUUUCCACCUUCAUUUACCGGAAGUCAGCGAUAAACUGCAUCCAACACUCACCGGUCUGUUACCUGAAACACUGAAGCUGUGAAAGAAAAUUAAGAAUCAAGAGCCAGAAGACGUCAUUGAUUAGCUGCACAUAAUAGUGACCAGUCUGUUACCUGAAAAGCUGAAGCUGUGAAAGAAUAUUUGGAAC